ACGUAGGGGGCGAGCGUUAUCCGGAUUUAUUGGGCGUAAAGCGUGUGUAGGCAGUUUAUUAAGUUUAAGAUUAAAGCCCGGGGCUCAACUCCGGUAAGUCUUAAAAACUGGUAGACUUGAGUACGGUAGAGGCAAACGGAAUUUCUAGUGUAGCGGUGAAAUGCGUAGAUAUUAGAAGGAACACCAGUGGCGAAAGCGGUUUGCUGGGCCGUUACUGACGCUGAGGCACGAAAGCGUGGGGAGCAAAUAG
Molecule: ribosomal RNA, 250 nt
Filed under: uncultured bacterium
Lineage: Bacteria
Description: partial 16S ribosomal RNA
Rfam family: Bacterial small subunit ribosomal RNA
Source: RNAcentral